Non-coding RNA from Misgurnus anguillicaudatus (oriental weatherfish), 1143 nucleotides. The record is from RefSeq and is a predicted model, not a curated record. Lineage: Eukaryota; Metazoa; Chordata; Actinopteri; Cypriniformes; Cobitidae.
GUGUGACCUUCAUCAUUUGAGUUUAUGUGUUGAUUUCACCUCUGAAUAUUUCCUCUUAUAGGUCCAUCAUCCUUGCAUGCGCUACACACUCAAAAGCAUUGAUAAAUGCUGAAUUAAAAAGAAUCACUACUGUCUUAUGUUCCUGUGUCACCUGGACCUCCAAUCCAAAAACCUGAUGAAACUCUUCUAUCAGAAAGGAGGACAGCUAGCAAAAAGACUUCAAACAAUUAAUGAUCAAAUGACAGAAGGCAUGGAUGAAGUCAGCAUCAGUGAGGUCAUUUGAAGACACCAAUGUUGGAAUUUGUGCUCUCAAACAACAUGCUUCUUGUGAUGAAGAAGAGGAUCUUUGUAUAGUCCUGGAAGGCAUGAAGGUGUUGCAACAUCGUGUUUGAGCUGAUGUAUGCCUUAAACCUGAGCUAUCCUGAUCUCCGCUUUAUUUUUGAGGAAAUCCAAAAGAUUUUAAUGGAACUGCAUUGAGCGUAACUUUAACGAACAGUUUCUUUCAGUGAAAGGAUCAGAAAGACUGUGAUGCUAAUUUAUGUUCUUUUUAUUUAUCUGUUUUAAGUGUUUUCUCUUAUUAAAACAUUAACAGUUUGCUGCUCAGAGUUGAUUUUGGAAAUGGUUGUUGUAUUUUGUUUUUGUUGAAUCUUUGAUUAACAGUUUAUACAAAUGCUGUAGCUCUGACUUUCUGAAGGAUUGAUAUUUUCCAGUUUGUAAAUCCAUUUAAAAAAUAAUAGUACUUAUUGUUUUGCAUGUCUCUUUGGAAUGCAGUGUUUGUGUUUUAGCACUUCUAAAUCUACUGUGAUAGUAACUAUUUUAAACAUUUGGGUCAGUUUUACAGAUGGGGCUUUUCCUAGUCCCAGACUUUUGCAAUGCCUUAAUUUGAAAACAUAUUGCACUGACAUAUCUUGACAUAUAUCAGUGCCAUUGUUUUGUCUCAAGAUGUACUCCAGUGUUGUUUUUGUAAGCUAGGUUUGUUUGUAAACUUUUUUGUAAAAUAUAUUCUAAUAUAACUAGAGCCUAGUCAUGGCUUAAUCUACAACCUGUCUGGGAAAUUGCCCCUUUGUAUGUACUGCAUGUGCUGAUUGUUGUAAUAGUUAUUGACUGUUAAUGAAUUAAUGUGUAAUGAUUUAAAUGAAUUGA